ACGCUGGCGGCGUGCCUAAUACAUGCAAGUCGAGCGGACCGGAUCGGAGCUUGCUCUGGUUUGGUCAGCGGCGGACGGGUGAGUAACACGUGGGCAACCUGCCCGCAAGACCGGGAUAACUCCGGGAAACCGGAGCUAAUACCGGAUAACACCGAAGACCGCAUGGUCUUUGGUUGAAAGGCGGCCUUUGGCUGUCACUUGCGGAUGGGCCCGCGGCGCAUUAGCUAGUUGGUGAGGUAACGGCUCACCAAGGCGACGAUGCGUAGCCGGCCUGAGAGGGUGACCGGCCACACUGGGACUGAGACACGGCCCAGACUCCUACGGGAGGCAGCAGUAGGGAAUCUUCCGCAAUGGACGAAAGUCUGACGGAGCGACGCCGCGUGAGCGAAGAAGGCCUUCGGGUCGUAAAGCUCUGUUGUGAGGGACGAAGGAGCGCCGUUUGAACAAGGCGGCGCGGUGACGGUACCUCACGAGGAAGCCCCGGCUAACUACGUGUCAGCAGCCGCGGUAAUACGUAGGGGGCGAGCGUUGUCCGGAAUUAUUGGGCGUAAAGCGCGCGCAGGCGGUUCCUUAAGUCUGAUGUGAAAGCCCACGGCUCAACCGUGGAGGGUCAUUGGAAACUGGGGGACUUGAGUGCAGGAGAGGAGAGCGGAAUUCCACGUGUAGCGGUGAAAUGCGUAGAGAUGUGGAGGAACACCAGUGGCGAAGGCGGCUCUCUGGCCUGCAACUGACGCUGAGGCGCGAAAGCGUGGGGAGC
This 757-nucleotide ribosomal RNA is filed under the name uncultured organism. RNAcentral describes it as "SSU rRNA". It matches the Rfam family "Bacterial small subunit ribosomal RNA", at positions 33 to 769 of the family's 1533-position model. The record is from RNAcentral.